Molecule: ribosomal RNA, 305 nt
Filed under: uncultured bacterium
Lineage: Bacteria
Description: bacterial SSU rRNA
Rfam family: Bacterial small subunit ribosomal RNA
Source: RNAcentral
UCCUACGGGAGGCAGCAGUGAGGAAUAUUGGUCAAUGGGCGCGAGCCUGAACCAGCCAAGUAGCGUGAAGGAUGACUGCCCUACGGGUCGUAAACUUCUUUUAUAGAGGAAUAAAGUGAGGCACGUGUGCCUUUUUGUAUGUACUUUAUGAAUAAGGAUCGGCUAACUCCGUGCCAGCAGCCGCGGUAAUACGGAGGAUCCGAGCGUUAUCCGGAUUUAUUGGGUUUAAAGGGAGCGUAGAUGGGUUGUUAAGUCAGUUGUGAAAGUUUGCGGCUCAACCGUAAAAUUGCAAUUGAUACUGGCAG